This 103-nucleotide microRNA precursor is filed under the name Otolemur garnettii (small-eared galago). RNAcentral describes it as "miRNA (ENSOGAG00000034204.1)". The record is from RNAcentral. Lineage: Eukaryota; Metazoa; Chordata; Mammalia; Primates; Galagidae.
GAUAAUUAGUGAUGCUGGGCAUUUUUUCAUAUAUUUCUUGGCCGUGUGUGUGUGUGUGUGUGUGUGUGUAUAUAUAUAUAUAUAUAUAUACACAUAUAUUUUU